GAUAUAAUUACGUUAUUGCUCAGUAUUGGCAGCCGGUUGAGCCAAACCAAAGCCGAAAUAAAUACAUCUCAAAUGUAACGUUAAAUUCUGCUUAGCUUCCGGCUAACAUCAGGGCGCUCGAAUAUAUCCAAAUCUGACAAAUCAGUCAGGGACCAAAGGCGCCUGGAACAACAGCAUCACGUUAACCGUGAUAUAUUUUCACCAUAACUCGAUUAGCCAAUGUUUUAGAUUCCUCAAAGGAAAUGUCUGGUCAGUAUAUUAUGCAGCCGGCCAGCUAAGCUAGUUUGCUAACACCCCAAUGCUAGCGAUAGCUAGCUAACUUCAUACGGAGCUAAGCGCUUGCUCCACUGCUCGCUACCAAGGCAACUAACCGAACUACAUCUACCUGUAGCAACAUGCGGCGGCUAACGGCAACUGUUAAACAAAACAACCCUUAAAUAGCACCACAAACAACGAAGCGACUUUCAGCUCCUACAUUACAAGAUGUAGUAACAGAGCUAAAUAACUUUCACAAAGUUAAUGGUAAGUAAACACGCGUUUAGCCUCCUAGCUAGCCGUAGAAAAAGCUCGAAAAGUUCCGCGCAGCUGCGAAAACACAGGAUUGCUUAGCAUGAACAAGGGAACUCCACUCACCCGUCAGCUAGCCUGCUCAUAUCAGCUGUUGCCCUGCCGGUUCUUAACGACAGCGAUGACUCCAAGAGUAAUGAAUCCCCUCUUGAACGUCUAACUAGCGGGCGUGAAAAAGAAUUAUUGGAGCAACGACACGUUAGCAAUGUGUACAGCUCUCGUACUAGCAACCGACUGGCUAGCAUCGCUGUCCAACGCCGACCUCGGCGGCUUGAAUGCGCUUCUUUAUGGUUGCGACGGCCACUUGGUGCUUUGUGGAGAUAUCGCCAAACUGGGAGUGAGCGGGCAGCACUCGAACCAGCUGGAAGACAAAACACACGCCCAAGACAAAGACGACAUAUGUGACAGCAUAUGUGAUGGAUCUGGCCAAGCCUCAAUGCAACAGCGUGCGGUUGGAAAAGAGAGCGAGCUGGACAGGAUGGUACAAAAAUAGGUAGCAUGAUAAUGCAGAAAGUUAGCACUCACACACUUCACAAACUCAGCAUGUGACCUAAUAAAAGAACAAUGGAAAUUUGAACAUGAACAUUGAUUUAUACUGUUUCAUUUUGGAGGCUGGAAUCUAUGCGGUGUAAAAGACUGUUGAGAGAAGAUUCAUGUGGUAUUUUUUGUAACUAUAAUUUGGGCUGUAUAUAUAAAUGUAUGUAUGAUGAAAUAGUUAAGAUUUAAACAAAGUCAUUUAGAGUGGUUUGAUGUAAACAUCUAGAGAAAACAAUCAUUCUCAGUGGUGAUGACACCCAACAUCUAGCCUCUAAAACCUACCUUGCAGAUAGUUACUAAAUGGUUUCAAUGCAUUGCCUGGUGCCUAGGAUGUUGUUUUUAAUCAUUUCGUGAGAAGGUUUUGGCCUAAAACAUAUUGUUGCUGUCCAAUGAAAAACAAGUAUCUCCAAAAGUAUUAACUUUACAGGAGAAGGCAAAAACUCUCUUACCUUUUAAUGUAAGUCAGUAUAAAGAGACUUUGUUCUAAGUGAUUGUAGAGCAUUUCUAUUGGUGCAUUCAUCAUGAAAUUCUUACACAAUGUAAAGGACAGCUGGUAUGUUGAAAUGGUGUAGAAAACUAAAAAUCAACCAAAGUGGAGAUGGUUUUCAUUGGACAGCAACAAAACUACAGUCCUGUCCUCCACUGUUUUACCAACAUCACAUAUAAAGAGUCAUGUAAGCUCACAGGUAAUUUUGUACAGUAAAAAUUUAUAAUAUAUCCUAUACAGAGGAAAUGGAUAUGUUUCUCUACCAUGAUCCAUUUAACUUCAAAGCACUCUGAAUAGCUUUACAUCUCAACAUUUGAAUCAUAUGGACAUUUUGAAAACUGGGUGAAAUUCUCCUUUAGCUAUCAUUACACCAGUUGCUUUACUCUUGGUUCAGUCAGAUUGGAAGACGUCUGCCACUCACUUCGGCACAGGAGUUGCACAGCUAAGCAGACAAAUUAGCUGGAGAGGACUUGCGGUCACCCUCUUUUCUGCUAUAUGAGAGACUCAAAUUCAAUGCAAAAGACACAAAAUCAAAAAUGCCACAUGUCCAUUCAUCCCCACCUUUUUAUCAACUCUCCCUUCAGAACAAAAAGACUGGGGUAUCUCAAAACAUGAAGUUCCCUUUUCCUAAAUUAUGCGUGCUGUAAAACCCCACAAAUACUCAACAUCUUUGUACAGUCUCAUCUUAUUACAUUAUGCAAUCACUGCAUUUCCUUAAUAUACUGAUAACAUUCUGUUUGUAGGUCAUUGGUGUGUGUUCUCUUGAUGUGAUGUCAUGGCUUCGGCUUUGGCUCAAAGGAGAGCAUUAAAGCCAUUUCACAAUCAAUUCAAUUCAGUUCAGCUACACUCAGCCUAGCUCAUUUUAACUCACUCAGUUCAGUACAAUUCAACUCAAUUCAGUUUGGUUCAGUUUAGUUUAACUUAACAAAAUUCAUCUCAUCUUAGGUCAGUUUAGUUCAAGUAAUGUCACCUCAAGUCAGGUUUGUUUAAUUCACCUCAUCUAUGCAAGUCAGCUCAGCUCAACUCCAUUCAGUUUAGUUCAAUUCAGCUCAGUUCAAUUCAGUUCAGUUUAGUUCAACUCGUAUCAACUUAAUUCAGUUCUGGUUAAUUCAACUCAUCUCAAAUCAGAUCUGUUCAGUUUGAUUUAUUUCAACUGUGCAUGUCAACUCAACACUUUAGUUUGGUUCAGUUCAGUUUAGUUCAGGUCAGCUCAGCUCAGUCAACUCAAUUCAGUUUAGUUUAACUCAUCUUAACUCAACUUAAGUCAACUCUGUUCAAUUCAGUUCAGUUCAACUGAACUUAUGUCAGUUCAGUUUAGUUCAACUCAUCUCAGCUUAACUCAAUUCAGUUAAGUUAGUGCAACUCAACUCAACUCACUUCAGUUUGGUUCAACACAACUCAACUUCACUCACUUCAUCUUCAUUAUCAUUACCGUAUUGCACAUAGUGCAAUACUGGGCUGUGAAGAACGAACAAUAGGUACAAAGAGUCUUUUUCCAAAACUAUGUAUAUUACAGAAUAUAACAUUGUGAAACUGUGCUAUUUGAGUCAUAGUAUGCAUCUGUUGACACAGGAAUGUGUACACUGUAUCAUCAAUGAACCACUGUAUGUUCAAUGAACACAAGGUACUUUUGAAACUAUGCUUUAAUAUUUUUGAUUUGUGUAGUUCCUUUCAGGUUACGUACAUGCUGCAGUGUGCCUGAAAGAGAAUCAGCCUCAGCCAGCGUUCUCAACAGCAUCAAAGCUGCUGCCAGCAGCACUUGUGUAUGUAAAACCUCCAUCGUCUCUCUCCAUGGACUGCCAGAGUCAAUAACCGAGCAACUCUGAGAAUGAUGUUGCUGCUUUGCAGGGAUCAGAGCCACUGUCAAAUAUAAACUUUAUGACAAAAAAUCAGUGAGGGAUCAUGUUUUGAAGAGCUGCCUUUCUAGCAGGAAUCAAAUACCAACCAUCUAAAGAAGAAAACGAGAGAGAUUCUCUCUCUGAGCAACUGAGUCACUCAGUGGAUCCCAAGAGUUCCACUGGUUCUUUUAUUCUUGUAUUCUCUCAGAUGUGCUCCUCAAGGGGCCUGUUCACCUUCAUGACCUUCAAACCACUUUUAUAGACUUUGCUUGCACAUGUUAAAGCCAAAGUAGGCAGAUAGUGCAAAAUCUGUCAAGUAAUUAAUAUAAACACACAUAAUAUCAUUCAUGUAAUAUCAGUAUCUAUAUAUUCAUAACCUCUUAAACUCUAAGGGCCUGCAAUUGGGCCCAAACUUCACUCUCAUAACUGGUUACAUAGUAGUCUAAUAGCAGUUACUAAGUAAUAUGUGGUAGUUAAUAUAUAAUAAAACACUAAUAACUGAAUAAUAAGCGUAAGGUUCAAAAGGCAAGUGAUCGUGCACACUUUAAUAGGCUGGUGCACUUGCUAUGUAUUUUUUUCUUCUUUGUAAUUUGAAAUUGUUCUGUUAUUUCAUUUGUACUUUUUAUUUAAGCACUUUUCCCAUUUACUUUUCAUUUCAUUUAUGCAUUCUAAUGCUUUGCUUAUCUUCCUGUGCAACCUUGAGAUUUUACAAAUAAAGAGUAUUAUUUUGGAAAUUUAUG
Pygocentrus nattereri (red-bellied piranha) is the source of this 4169-nucleotide long non-coding RNA. The record is from Ensembl. Lineage: Eukaryota; Metazoa; Chordata; Actinopteri; Characiformes; Serrasalmidae.